CCUACGGGGGGCAGCAGUGGGGGAUAUUGCACAAUGGGGGGAACCCUGAUGCAGCGACGCCGCGUGGGUGAAGGAGCGUUUCGGCGCGUAAAGCGCUAUCGGCAGGGAAGAAGAUGACGGUACCUGACCAAGAAGCCUCGGCUAACUACGUGCCAGCCGCCGCGGUAAUACGUAGGGGGCAAGCGUUAUCCGGAGUUACUGGGUGUAAAGGGGUGGCAGACGGCAAUGCAAGCCAGGGGUGAAAGCCUGGGGCCAAACCCCGGGACUGCUCUUGGAACUGCAUGGCUGGAGUACGGGAGGGGCAGGCGGAAUUCCUAGUGUAGCGGUGAAAUGCGUAGAUAUUAGGAGGAACACCGGUGGCGAAGGCGGCUUGCUGGACUGUGACUGACGUUGAGGCCCGAAGGCGUGGGGAGCAAACAGGAUUAGAUACCCGAGUAGUC
RNAcentral lists this ribosomal RNA (440 nucleotides) under uncultured bacterium. RNAcentral describes it as "partial 16S ribosomal RNA". It matches the Rfam family "Bacterial small subunit ribosomal RNA", at positions 338 to 795 of the family's 1533-position model. The record is from RNAcentral.